This is a long non-coding RNA of Andrographis paniculata, 789 nucleotides long. RefSeq lists it as uncharacterized. The transcript is spliced from 3 exons. NCBI's taxonomy places the organism in Eukaryota, Viridiplantae, Streptophyta, Magnoliopsida, Lamiales, Acanthaceae. The record is from RefSeq and is a predicted model, not a curated record.
GCUUACUUUCAUCGCCUAUUUUUUUUUUUCCUUCUAAUUUGCGGCGUCGCCUUUCUCCCGAAGACAAAGACCGCCGCCGCCACUCCCAAGUUCUUCUCCAACUUCUUCUUCCCCAAUUCUUUCCUUUCUUCUUUUUUUUCUUCCUCCUUCUUUUUCACCAAAGUCAUUACGCAGCUACACCAGGUUCUUCCCCCAUCUUCUUUUCCCCCAAUUCUUUUCUUUCUUUCUUCUCUUUUCCUCUUCCUCUUUCAUAGUCGCCACCCACCCCAACAUUCCACAGCCGCCACCGCCAUCGCCUAUUAAAAAUAUUACUCGUGGGACACCGGGAACAUUAAAAAUAAAAAUCAGUUUUAACCACUGCCACCGCCUAACGCUGCUCCCGUCGCCGUAGAUUGUUAGGUGAUAUGGCGGCAGUUUCAAAGCAGAAUAUAUUUAUAUCCAAUGAAUGGGCCAAUGCCGCUGAGACCGUAACCUAUGGUUCGGUUACUUCUCCAAUAACCUUCAUAUGCGGCCCUAAGAAUAGCGGGAAAACUACAUUCUCUCGUCACUUGGUCAAUGUUCUUCUGCAGAGGUAUAGAAAAGUGGCAUAACUCGACACCGAUGUUGGGCAGACAGAGUUUACUCCCUCUGGCCUCGUGUCACUGGUUAUGAUUGACAAAACAACUCCAGAUGCUUUUUCUUUGGUUAUGUCUCAUAGAAAAAGGGAUCAUGCUACUUAUGUAUCUUACAUAAAAAAGCUGUAUGAGCACUAUCUAAAAGAAUACAAGGAGAAUGGAGGAAAUUCCAGAA